GCCCCUUAUGACCUGGGCUACACACGUGCUACAAUGGUUGGUACAACGAGUUGCGAGUCGGUGACGGCGAGCUAAUCUCUUAAAGGCCAAUCUCAGUUCGGAUUGUAGGCUGCAACUCGCCUACAUGAAGUCGGAAUCGCUAGUAAUCGCGGAUCAGCCAUGCCGCGGUGAAUUACCGGUUCCCGGGCCUU
This 191-nucleotide ribosomal RNA is filed under the name uncultured Streptococcus sp. RNAcentral describes it as "partial 16S ribosomal RNA". It matches the Rfam family "Bacterial small subunit ribosomal RNA", at positions 1197 to 1382 of the family's 1533-position model. Lineage: Bacteria; Bacillati; Bacillota; Bacilli; Lactobacillales; Streptococcaceae. The record is from RNAcentral.